This is a non-coding RNA of Linepithema humile (Argentine ant), 374 nucleotides long. Lineage: Eukaryota; Metazoa; Arthropoda; Insecta; Hymenoptera; Formicidae. The record is from RefSeq and is a predicted model, not a curated record.
ACGCAUAAGAGGUUUUUUUCGUACUAAUUGUAAAUCGUUGUUCAUGCAGUCAUUGCAAAAAUAUGAUAACAGUGAAUGUGCUAUAUAAAACUGCUGUGAUGAUAUGAUGCAGUUCGAAGUCAUUUGAUUGAGCGUCAAGAAAUUUUCAUCUGGCGUUCAAAGAUUUACAAGAUUUUGUUUUAUAAAUAAAGCAUAAUAUUUUAAGUGGAAAUUUCUACAAACGUGUUUAGAAUAUAUUUUGUGAUCCUUUUUGAACGAUGCCUGGGUUUAUUCAGAUUCAGAAAAAGACACUUGAUUGCAUUUGACGACAAGCGUCUUGUUUAGAGCGAUAAAUAGGUACUUAUUUCUUGUGCGUACUGAUAUUCAAGAAUCAA